CUCGAUGGUUUCAUGGGUGGACUUAUGUCAUUCGUGCUAUUCUGGACGUAUCCUUUCUUUCUUGCAAUGGUACACGGACACAAAUGUAACGCUCGUUCGAGCCGGCAAAUCUUAGGACUGAAAAUUUACCGGCUUCCGGUUUAUCUUUUAAUACAUCCUCUUUGCCUAUCGGUACUUUCUUUAACAC
This is a long non-coding RNA of Hibiscus syriacus, 187 nucleotides long. RefSeq lists it as uncharacterized. The transcript has 3 exons. The record is from RefSeq and is a predicted model, not a curated record. Lineage: Eukaryota; Viridiplantae; Streptophyta; Magnoliopsida; Malvales; Malvaceae.